This 1203-nucleotide ribosomal RNA is filed under the name Triticum aestivum (bread wheat). Its description in RNAcentral is "partial small subunit ribosomal RNA". Lineage: Eukaryota; Viridiplantae; Streptophyta; Magnoliopsida; Poales; Poaceae. The record is from RNAcentral.
AUGUCGCCACCGAAACGCGAGCGAAGUACCAACAUAUGUGCGUCGACGCCAACAACGUUAGGGAUCACGACGACGCUCCCGACCGACAUCUUGCUCGAGAUUAUGGCGCGCACCGACCUUCUCACGGUCGUACGGGGCGCCGCCGUCUGCAAGCACCUCCGCGGUGAUAUCCUAUGCCCGUCCUUCAUCCGCCGCGUCAUCCAACAAGCGGCUCCAAGCAUCCUCGCCCUUCUCUGCGUCUAUGCAGAGAGACCACUAACCCUGGUGUACUCCACCGCCGCGUCUUUCUUCCACAACCAUCUCUCGCCAUACAUGUUGCGCAAUGCUGACAAGGACGUCCUUGGUCCAUACUACCCUGUGGCAUCACGCGGUGGCCUGGUUGUCCUCAACAUGAACGCAUGGCCCAAGUCCGAGGGCUCUUUAGACCUAUGCGUGUACGACCCCAUGAUGGACAGCUGCACCUUCCUCUCAAAACCUCCUGAUGAAACUGAGAGUAGCAUUUGCAAUGAGCACAAGUACGUUCUGCUCACCGCGGCAGAUGGCAUCGACUGCUCCUUCAUGCUGCUCUCCAUCGUUUUCAAUAGAUCAAGCAUGAAAGUAUGCACUGCCACAUCCUCCUCUCCUACCUGGGGGCCUACCACUUGUGUGACACACCAUGACUUCACAUGGUGGCUGAUAAAUAGCUACAAGGACCCCGCAGUCCUCCGCGGAGGCGUCAUCCACUGGCUAAGAUACACCGGUGACCAAAUCGUCACCUACAACGUGCGCACAAGGAUGCCGGGACUUGUGAAACUCCCACCCACAAAACACAAUGCAAGGCAGUCCCAUUUGGCAACCUCCCCGAAUGGGAACAUGCUCAAACUAUUGGAUGUAGAUGGGUCCAAGAUAUCAGUCUGGCUACUACUCCCUACAAGCGCAGAAGGUGGUGGCAAUGGUUGGGCACUGCAAACUGUGAUCGACAUAGAGGAGAAGCUACUAUUUUUGUACCCAAAUAUCCAUGUUGGGGUUGACCCUGAUGCACUAGUGGAGUUCAAGGGCUCUGGGAAGAGGAGUGGCGACAUGGUCUUGCUGGAGGCACGAUAUGAGGAAGGCUCCCUGGUUAUUGAUUUGAAGAGAAGGGAGAUGAAUGCUCAAAAUCAGAGAUCCACUUUGUUGGAGGUUGACCUACUAUCUCGCCUACAAAAUAUGAAACUGUUCUCGUAG